CGCAGCCGCGGUAAUUCCAGCUCCAAUAGCGUAUGUUAAAGUUGUUGCAGUUAAAAAGCUCGUAGUUGAACUUCAGGCUUGGUCGGGCGGUCUGCCUCACGGUAUGUACUGUCUGACUGAGUCUUACCUCUUGGUGAGCCGGCGUGCGCUUUAUUGUGUGCGUCGGGGAACCAGGACUUUUACCUUGAGAAAAUUAGAGUGUUCAAAGCAGGCUUAUGCCUGAAUACAUUAGCAUGGAAUAAUAAAAUAGGACGUGCGGUUCUAUUUUGUUGGUUUCUAGAGUCGCCGUAAUGAUUAAUAGGGAUAGUUGGGGGCAUUGGUAUUGAGUCGCUANAGGUGAAAUUCUUGGAUUGACUCANGACCGACUAUUGCGAAAGCAUUUGCCAAGGAUGUUUUCAUUAAUCANGAACGAAGGUUANGGGAUCGAAAACGAUCANANACCGUUGUAUUCNUAAACANUAAAA
RNAcentral lists this ribosomal RNA (464 nucleotides) under uncultured fungus. Its description in RNAcentral is "SSU rRNA". It matches the Rfam family "Eukaryotic small subunit ribosomal RNA", at positions 569 to 1037 of the family's 1831-position model. Lineage: Eukaryota; Fungi. The record is from RNAcentral.